CCCAUAGGCUGUGCGCCUGCGCGGAGGCGGUGGCGUUCUCCGCGCGCUCACAGGCGAUCGGCGUCCUAAUUUAUGGCACCUGGAGAGUGGUUCAAGAAAAUCAGCUCCCCGUGCACCGCUCGGAGGCGGGUUGAGCUGCAGACCCAGCUGAGAAGAGAAUGAACUUGCAAACUUGAUUCAACCACAGGCCUUGUGCCGUGACCAAUAAAGGAUGCUCCUGCAAGCAGCUCCCCAGCUCUCCCCAGACCUGCCACCACCACCUCCAUCAUCUCCACCUGCCAGUCUGCCUGACUCCAUCUGCAGAGGAGAGACACGGCUGGAAACUGAGAGAGGAGGCUUCACAGGGCCCCACUGCCUGGACCACGGGCGCUGGGUUAGAGCAAGGCAGCCCUUCAUCAUUUCUAGCAAACUCCGUUUCCUACUUGGCAGGGGGCACUGCUCCUCUCUGGGCACCUUGGAGUCUCCUGCCUUCCAGGAAAAACAUCAGGGAAACCUUGGGUCACCUCGCUUGGCUGACAUCACCCAUCUAGACCUCAUCCAGUCCCAGGUCCCGCAAAAACAAAAGCCGUUGGACCUCAAAGGGUUGCCCUUCUUUCAGCCAGAAUACCUCUCGAAAAUGAUCUUCUUGAUGAGAGAGAUCUCUCUGUGCUGAGGUGGGCAGAUAAAUUAAGUUAAAAAAUGGAAAAUAUCAACACACUGCUCAAUCCAGCUCCGCGUUUUAUUUUUUGGCCGCUCCACACAGCAUGGGGGAUCUUAGUUCCCCAGCCAGGGAUCGAACCCACACCCCCUGCACUGGAAACUUGGAGUAGUUCUGACCAUUGGACUUCCAGGAAAUCCACCCCCUCUCCAACCUACUUUUUAAAAAUACACACUUUAAAAAAAGAAAAAGCUGUCAGAAUAUUAGCCAAAAGCAUUCCCUUUGGUUAUGUCUGAGGGUGGGAUGACAGAGGACAUUCUAUGCUCCAUGUUUCUACGAUGUUUUCAUUGAAGGAUUGCUUAUGUAGUCAGGAAUAACAGAGUGUUUGAAAAGGGGAAUGGCGAGGGGUUCUUGGGGUCCUUGAUGUCUUGAGAAGCCAGGUGGGUUGACAGGCAGGAUUCUAGAACAGUUCAUUCAAGAGUCUGAGAGACCACUUUCCCCAGGUUGGGGAAAUUUCAGCCUUUGGUCCAGGACUGAGUCAUCCUGAAGCAGAAAGGAAAAUUGAGUGAUGCUAAAGAAAUCUGAGCACUGAAGAACUGAUGCUCAUGAACUGUGGUGUUGGAGAAGACUCUUUAGAGUCCCUUGGACUGCAAGGAGAUCCAACCAGUCCAUCCUAAAGGAAAUCAACCCUGAAUAUUCAUUGGAAGGACUGAUACUGAAGCUGAGGUUCCCAUACUUUGGCCACCUGAUGUGCAGAGCUGACUCAUUGGAAAAGACCCUAAUGUUGGGAAAGAUUGAAGGCAGGAGGAGAAGGGGACGACAGAGGAUGAGAUGGUUGGAUGGCAUCACCGACUCGAUGGACAUGAGUCUGAGCAAGCUGUGGAAGAUGGUGAAGGGAUAGGAAGCCUGGCGUGCUGCAGUCCAUGGGGUCACAAAGAGUCGGACACGACCGAGUGACUGAACAACAACAGAAGAAAUCAUCGCUUCAUCUCUCUUCUUAAAAGUGUGUGUCUGCACUGCUAUAGUUAUUAAUAAGAUGGAUAACAAGGACCUACUGUACAACACAGGGAACUCUGCUCAAUGUUAUGUAGCAGCCUGGAUGGGAGGGAGUUUGGGGGAGAAUGGAUACAUGUGUAUGUAUGGCUGAGUCCCUUUGCUCUUCGCCUGAAAGUGUCACAACAUUGUUAAUUGGCUAUACUCCAAUAUAAAAAAAGUUCAAAUAAAUUCCUAACGUGAUGCUGUGUCGAGAAGCAUACACAAGAACAGGUGCUAGUCUUUCUGUCCAGGAAGUGGAGCCAGGUGGCCAGGGGUGGUGAGGACCAAGAUAGAGGUUUCACUCUACCUUUUCUGGUACGUUUUGAAUUAUAAACCAUGUGUAUGUAUUACCUACUCAAAAAAAUAAAUAAAAUUUAAACGUGAAAAUCAGGUACUUUCCAAAUAGCACUGUUAAAUCAGUGUACCAUGUGUUAAAUGUACGUACGCACUCAUGGACGAACACAGCCUUUUGAAAACAAUUAAUUUGAGGAUGUUCAUUAAGAAACAUUUGGAAAAUUCAGAAAAGGAGAAAGAAAAUAUAUGUCUAACCCAGAGUCCCGCCACUCAGGGACAUUCACCAGUAAUAUUCUGGCUUAUUUCUUCUAGUCUGUUUUGUUUAGUUGUCAUGUGGUUUGAAUCAUUCUGUGUUAGAGUUUUAGAAAUUGCUUUUUAAAGAUCUAAACAUGGAUAAAUGCUUACAAUGUCAUACCAUGAUAGGACAUUUGAGUCUCCUUCUUAAAGGCUGGUGUUGGGGCUCCCAUUGGUAUUGGCUGGUAUUGGGAAAUCUCAGAAGACAAUUCUGCCCUCCAC
This is a long non-coding RNA of Bos taurus (domestic cattle), 2482 nucleotides long. The record is from Ensembl. NCBI's taxonomy places the organism in Eukaryota, Metazoa, Chordata, Mammalia, Artiodactyla, Bovidae.